This 253-nucleotide ribosomal RNA is filed under the name uncultured bacterium. Its description in RNAcentral is "partial 16S ribosomal RNA". It matches the Rfam family "Bacterial small subunit ribosomal RNA", at positions 524 to 776 of the family's 1533-position model. The record is from RNAcentral.
UACGAAGGGUGCUAGCGUUGCUCGGAAUCACUGGGCGUACAGGGUGCGUAGGCGGGUUUUUAAGUCAGGGGGGAAAUCCUGGAGCUCAACUCCAGAACUGCCUUUGAUACUGAGGAUCUUGAGUUCGGGAGAGGUGAGUGGAACUGCGAGUGUAGAGGUGAAAUUCGUAGAUAUUCGCAAGAACACCAGUGGCGAAGGCGGCUCACUGGCCCGAUACUGACGCUGAGGCACGAAAGCGUGGGGAGCAAACAGG